Molecule: long non-coding RNA, 42177 nt
Filed under: Lactuca sativa (garden lettuce)
Lineage: Eukaryota; Viridiplantae; Streptophyta; Magnoliopsida; Asterales; Asteraceae
Description: long non-coding RNA (LSAT_LNC008720)
Source: RNAcentral
ACAAAAAAUUAAUCAUCAGUUAAAUGUUAAGGUUCAAGUCUCGUUUAUAGCAAAAUGUAUACAUUUAUAAGUAUAUAUGUUAGAUGGUUCUAAUUUCUUUUAGAUAUUUAUUGAAUAUGAUAGAUUUUAGACAAAAUUACAUAAGUGGUCCUUGAGGUUGAUCCAAUUGACCAACUUUGGCUCUUAUGACAAAUUUUAUGUGUAGAUAGUUCAUAUGGUUUUAAAAUCUUGCAAAGAUAUUCCUUUUGACUAAAGAUGUUAGCUUUUUCAAUUAAGUUCAUUGUGAAAUGAUCUAUUUGCCAUUCAUUCCAUACGGACCAUUUAUGUAAUUUGUUCUAUCCAUAGGGACCGUUUAUGUAACUUUCUCUAUUAUUUUUUUAUUUAAUUUAUUUAUAUUCUAUGAUUUAGAAUUUUCUUAACGUUUUGUUUGAAUAUAUUCUUGAUUUUUUUUUAAAAAAUCACUUGCAUUUUUUGAUUUUGGUUCGUGUAAUUUUUUGACAAAAUUGCAAAAAUAGUCCCUGUGGUAUGUAUUUUUUUGGGGUUUUAAUCCAAACAGUGACUUUUUUGGAUUAGUGGUCAUUUUGAGAUAGUUUGUAUGUGAAAAUAGUCCCUCCAAAAAUUGAAAUGACUAUAAUACCCUUGGGGUAUUUAUUUUUCAUUUUUCUUUCAUUUUUAUAAAUUAAAUAUUUAUUUAUUUACUUUAACAAUUAAAAAAUAAUGGAGGACCCACCUCUCUCUCUCUCUCUCUUCUCUUUUUCUCUCUCUCUCUCUCUCUCUCUCUCUCUCAUCCCGAGCUAUCACUUCAUCACACACACACACACAAACAGACGAACCUUCCCUCUUCUUUCAAUAUCCACCCUUCUCCCCUGAUUUGUUAUUUUUUUUUAAAUUACACUUCGUCAAUUCAUCAAUUCCCCUAGAUUCGAUUCGAUCUUCGAGGAUGGAAUGAUCAGUUUUUCGGAAAAAACAUUCAUUCUAUUUUCACCAUUCUUGUUCAUCAAAAAGUCGAUUUACCCACCUGUUAUCUCUCCAUACUUCUCCCUUCCUCUAAUUUUGAUGGGGGAAUUGAUUAAUGGGUUGUUCUUGAUUUUGGUUUGGUGUUGGUUACAUGUUUUAAUUUUUAUCUGGGAUGAGUUCAGGGGGGAGAUAAUGAUGGUGAAGAAGAAUAGGUAGGAGGGAAGAGGAAGUUGAUGAGUCGAGAUUAGGGGAGGAACCAAAAGACACACACAUACAUGGAUUUCUGGUGUAACUAGGGAACCUUCAUCCUUGCUCAAAACUGAUGAAGAUGAAACCUUCAUCCCUAUUCAAAAACCAUUACAGGACGUCAACUAAAUCAAAGAUUAAGGUUUCUUGCUCUAAAACCCUUAGAGAACCUGCAACUAAAUCAAAGGUUUGACAUUUAAAAAUAAACCCAUAUUUCAACGGUUUCAUUGUGUGUGCCCUGAAUUAAAAAGAAAUCUGGAAUUCAUAUGGGUUCUUGAAGAAAUAAACUUGAACGGAAUCAAAAUAGAAGUAUGAAAUAAAACUAAAAACUUGAUUGAAAACAAAAUCAGAGUUGUUCCAUGGGUUUUUGGUUCUGGUUAGAGGGAGAACCAAAAUCGAAAUCGACACCAUAAACAAAAUCAAACCCAAAUAAAGAUCAGUGUGUGUGUCUCUUCCCCAUGGUGUUUGUGAUCAAUGGUGACAAGGGAUGAUUACCUCGGUGCAUGUUUUUGUUGUGGGGUUUUCAGUGGUGCAGCGUCGGUGGUUGAAGAAGGAAGCUUGGGUUCAACAUUCUUGAUGUAUGGAUGAUGGUGGCUAAAAGGAAGAUGAUGAAUGUCGAUGAUCUGAAGUGUGUGUGUUUGCUUGAGAGAGAGAGAGAGAGAGAGAGGGGUCCUCCAUUAUUUUUUAAUUGUUAAAAUAAAUAAAUAAAUAUUUAAUUUAAAAAAAAUGAAAGAAAAUGAAAAAUAAAUACCCCAAGGGUAUUAUAGUCAUUUCAAUUUUCGGAGGGAUUAUUUUCACAUACAAACUACCUCAAAAGGACCACCAAUCCAAAAAAAAUCAUUGUUUGGAUUAAAACCCCAAAAAAUGCAUACCACAAGGACCAUUUUUGCAAUUUUGUCUAAUUUUUUUAAAUUCUUUUUUGACAUUUUAUUCAAAUACAUUUAUGACAAAACUUCAAAAAUGAUCACUGUGGUUUUCAAAAAUAUCAAGUUUAGUCCCUAAUUUCAAUGUGAUUAAUAUUAAAUAUCUGGUCAGUAGUGGAACCUUGUCAUAUCAUCAUCUUGUUAAUUGUUUGGUCAUGUAUGCUAAAAAAUCAAAUUACAAAAAGAUGAUGAAGGUAUCCAAAGAAACAAGGAAGCAGGAUCGAAGAUGGAAAUUUGCAUUUUACUAGCUAAAUGUACAACCUUUAAUAUAAGUUCUCAAGCAAUUAUUGCAUCAUGGAGUGCAGUUGAUGCAGAUGAAAGGAAGAACAAUAUGUUGCUUUCUUCGGUGCUACGGGAUUGAAUUCAAAACCCGAUCAUAUAACCUACAAUCCUACACUAUAUAUGAACAUGAAAUUACUAAGGAAAGCUUUUGUUACACAGGACAAAACUGAUGACAGGACAACAUCUCUAAGACUAUUCUCAAAGAGAAUUGGGAGUGGGGAGGGGAAGAAAAUUGAUCCAGGUCUUAUGCAUUCCAAAUGCAGGUACAUUCCUACAUAAUAAAGGAGGCUUAAAAGAGAAGAAAAGUGAUACCGAAGAUGCAUAUGAGGAACUAAUCUUGGAAGAACUACAGAAAACACAUACUUAACUACUUGAAAAAUAGCCAAGGUAUGCAACUUAAAUGAAUCCCAGACCAUAAAUUUCCCAAGCCACCAUUUGCAAAAGUGUGCUUCACCUGCAAAAAGAAAAAAAAAAUGAAAAAUGAAAACGACAUCGUUUUGGACGUUGUUGACUGUGGAAAGUGAAAUCAUCUGUGAUUUAAAAAAAAUGUAUUAUCAUGUCAUGUUGACUGCGAAAUUCAAAGACGAUACUGUGAAAAUCAUAACCUAUGGUAUGAAAAUUUGCACAUUGUAGAGGAUGUUAUCUUAUAAGAGAUUGCUUUGUAAAAAAGAGUUAUCAGAACCAAUUGUCUGCAUUUUUUAGCACAAUUUUCACUAUAUUCUUUCUUCUGAUUUCCUUAGCAAUUUUCCACCUUACCCUAUUGCUCUUGUCGAGAUAACAUGAGUUCAAACAUUGUACAUGACUAAUUGUUAUUUUUGUUGGUGGUCGAUGGCAGUUAGAAACAACAUGUUUAUACAAUGCAACAAAUCAAUAUGUUGUUGGUGGGUACUGAUCUAGCAGCAGAAGAGGGACCGGUAGUAAAAGAUGGAAAAAGUUUUGCUAAGAACAGAUACAUAGAAGAGGUAGCAACAAUCAAAUAGGUAUCUGUAUCUCUCUAAAUGAUUCUCACGAUGUUGGUGGAUAUGUUGCGUUCCAAUAACAACUCAAUUCACAAGUAGUUUCUGAAACCCAAUACACGUAUCGACAAAUUCAAUAUGUCGAUCCCAAAAGAUAUUCUGUACCAUAUCAAACACUAAUACCACCAUAUCAAACGUCGGUAACACCAUUUGAAACGCCGAUUGUAUAAUAUCAAAUGCCAAUUAUACAAUACAACCUAUUUUUCCAUUCUAAAAAGUGGGCCGAAAGGAGAGGAAAGUGGUAUUGAAGAUGCAUAUAUAUAUAUAUAUAUAUANCAAGACCAGCUAAGAGUAAACGUAAAUAAGAAUAAAAGGCAAAUACAAGUAGAAAGAAGUAUAUUGAAUCAAAUUGUAUCUGAAUUGAAAGCAACAAAAAGGUGUAUCAAGAUGUUAAACCCAUGAAAUCUCAAACCCAUUGAAAAUCUUUUGUGUAUGCUUGACGGCUUUGAGUUAUGUUAUUAUUUAUUCCAUAUCUUGAUGUGUCUGAGCAUGUUGAUGUUGUAAUUUGAUAACUUUGCAUCAGUUCUGUACUCUUCUCUUUGCGUAACCAUUCUAUUUCAGCUUCCCUUUGGAUUUCACUUGCUGAGCUGAUUUAAGUUCCACCUUCUAAUAUUCUUCAAAUGUUACCUCUUUCUAAACCCCUCAUAAGAAAUGUUCAUGCACAAACUCCCACCUAUUCAAUAAAUCUUGCUAAAUCCCUGAAUCAAAUCACAGAAACCAAUAAAAGAUGAACGUGUAAGAAACUAAACAACACCAAAAACCACAGCAACCAUGCAUGUAGGGUGUUGUUUAUCAUUCAUAAUAACAUAACCAGGACCAAAACUUUCCCCCUUUAGUCAACCGUCUUCGUCCUUUGCAUGAUGAAAGAAAAAAGAAAAUUUACAAAGAGAAGAAUAGAUAAUAAGUGGGUACCUGAUUCUUACUGAACUAUUUGAAAAAUAGACAAAGAUAUGUAACCUAAAUGAGACCUUGUAUUUACAAUUAACUAUUGUUGUUGAUGAUCAAGACAAACCGAGAGUAAAAUCACACAAACCAGUUGUUCUUACUUUAUGUUCAAAAGAGCAGGGACAAAAUAUUAAUCAAUACCUAAACUUUACCCCUUCACCCAAUCAUCUUCUUCCUUAACAUGAAAAACAAGAACAUCUAGAAAAAAAAAAUGGAUAAUGAGUUGAUUACCUGAUUCUUUGUUGGAGCCAUGAAGAUGAAAAUAUCAAUCAAGACCUAACCUUUCCCCCUUCACCNUAUAAAAAAAAAAAAAAAAAAAAAAAAAAAAAAAAAAAAAAAAAAAAAAAGAGGAAAUAGAUAAUGAACCUGAUUCUUAGUUGGAGCCAUGAAGAUGAUAAGUGAUCAAUGCUGCAGCAGAUUGGUGCAAGAGAAGUGACAGGUCAAGAGCACAAUAGCAUACAAAUAUAGUCUAAUCUAAUAACUAGAUAUUAUAUAAAAAUACUGAAUGAUAAAUAUAACAAACAUUUUAAAAUUGAAACCUUUAAACAACAUCCACAUUACAAACAUAGAUCCAAAUAGUAGCAUUAAAACAAAAACUUCAUUCAUAACAUAUAUCCGAGAAUUACUUGCAUUGCAGAGCGCCUAUACAGCUUCUCUUCCUCUCUUGAUCUUGGCAACAACUGUUACCAUGACUGCAACGUAUAUCUUGUCCAUGAUUUUCUCAACAAACAUGAAAAGCCUCCAUCUCCACUGCUUCUUGAACAAGAGAACUCCAAUUACACCCCAAAACCCUGUUGCAAAUCCACUCAUGAUGUCCAGGUAAAACCACCAUACCUUGAUCGACUCCUCAGCUGCUUUAUGUUUCUUCUUGGGCUUUGCUGUUGUUGUUGGGUCUUGAUGAUCUGAGCAAUUGUUUGUCAAUGGAGGUCCACAAAGAUCUCUGUUCCCACCAUAUAUUGAUGGAUCAUCAAUAAGGGUCUGCAAUUGAUGGCCUGUUGGAAUUCUUCCCCACAAGUUGUUGUGUGACAAAUUCAAAUGACUCAAAAAAGUCAAAUCUGCCAUGCUUGGAGGGAUCAUCCCGGUUAACUCAUUGUUUGAGAAAUCUAGAGAAAAUAAUGCCGUCAAGUUUCCAAUGGUGUCUGGAAUAUUCCCACUGAGAUGAUUAUUAGACAAAUUGAGACCCACCAACAUAGAAAGUGCAGUUAUCUCUAUAGGUAUUUUUCCUACAAGUUUAUUGCUUGAAAGGUCCAUGUUAUAAACUAUAUCCAAAAUUCUUGUAUAUUCAAGAUCAACACCUUUCAUAACCUGAAUCACAUUCUCAUUAGAAUCACCCCAGCCAUAAUUGUAAUACCACUUUUCUGCACCAUUAACCAUUGCUUUCAACUCUCUUAGGCAAUGAGGGAUGAUACCCGUUAAGUUGUUGUAUGCAACAUCCAAAAUUUGAAGAUUUGACAUUUUGCAUAAAGAUUCAGGAAUUUCCCCGGUAAAGUUAUUCUUGUGUAAUCUUAAAACAAUCAAACUUGUCAGGUUUUCUCCAAUCCAGUGGGGUAUCUUUCCAAACAAUUGAUUAUCACCCACAUCUAGGACUUUUAAAUCUCUUAAAUUCCCCAACUCUGGAGGAAGUUCACCAAUGAAGUUAUUGUCAUCCAAUUUUAACCAAUUCAAUGAUGAAAGAUUAAGACCUAUAUAGCUUGGAAUGACACCUGAAAGUAAAUUUGAGCUAAAGAUCAUGGCACCCAACCAUUCCAGAUUCUGGAGACACUUGGGAAUUGUCCCUGUUAACCUAUUUCUGGAAAGAUCAAGUAAUUCCAAAUCUGUCCAUCUGCACAAGGACUUCGGAAUUGACUCAUUGAAAAUGUUAUUUGCUAGUAUCAAUACCCAUCGUAUUUCUGGAAGGUUUGUCAAUGGUCCGCUGAGUUUGUUGUGAGAGAGAUCUAAGAAAUCAAUGACAGGCAUCUUCCGCAACCAUCUGGGCAGAGGUCCCGAAAUUGAAGCAUUCGACAACACUAACUCAGAGAGCAAGAACUGAUUCCGUAGCCACUGUGGCAAUCCAUUUGUGAGAUUGCAGGAACUGAGAUCAAGAUGAUACAACUGGAAUGGAGGCAUCCACUUAUGUGAAAAAUUGCAUGUCAGCUUAGAAUUAGAUGAAGCAUUCAAGUACCUCAACAUGGAAAGGUUAGCAAAAUGGGCUUCGGAAACUACUCCUUGUAAGGAAUUGUCUGAGAUAUCUAACUCAUUGAGUUUGGCAAGUUGCCCAAUUGAAACCGGAAUAGUCCCAUUUAACAAAUUUGAAGACAACCGAAUUGCUUGUAAUGAAACAACUCUUCCUAGAGAUGUUGGGAUGGGGCCCGUUAAGUGAUUGGAUUGUAGAUACAAAGAUUCUAAAGCUGCAAGAUUUCCAAAGGAUUCUGGAAUUGAACCAUUCAAUUGGUUAUCAUGUAGAUCUAAUACCUCUAAGAAUCUUAAUCUUCCUAGAGAUUCGGGGAUUGGACCUGUCAAACUGCUCAUUGAUAGAUCUAAGUGUCUUAAAUUGGUUAGUCUUCCAAAUGCUUCUGGAAUCGUACCAUUCAAACACCCACUUAAAUCCAACCGCUCCAAAGCAUAUUGGGAGCAUUCUGAAACGUUUUGCGGUGGGUCAAUCCUUUCUAUUUCAAAAGGAUUUCCAUAUGCAGCCAAUGUUUUCAGGUGACACUGUCUCCAGAUUCCAACAUCCUCAAUAUUCUUAAACUGGUUAACAGAAAGAUCAAGCUCUAGAAGGUUAGCCAUAAUAGGAACCGAAGAAUGCAGCAUGUUUCUUGAGAGAUCAAGGACUCUUAAGGAACUCAUGUUACUGAAAACAGAUGGAAAUAUGCCUUCAAUUGAAUUCCAGCUAAGAUCCAGGUGUUGGAUGUUAGAAAGCAUACAAAGUGACAAAUGCAGCUCUGAUAAAGAAGGGAUCAUGUUUAGCACGUUUGCAAAGUUCCAUGCCAAACUAAGAUUAAAUUUAGAAAGAUCGAGGAAUGCUAGGGAUGUCAUGUUUCGGAAAAAUCCAGGGAGUGGGCCUUUGAAAGAAUUGAAGCCAAGAUCAAGGUGUUUGAUGUUGGGAAGUAUUCUACUCGAAUUAAGAAAAGGACCAAGAUGGGCAUUGGAAAGUCCACAACCAUGCAAACUUAACUCUUUUAACGAAGGAAGAUUGUAAAGCACCAUGCCCAUGUUCUUUGCUCCGCCAAGAUCCACCCAACUCAAGUCGAGAUGCUCGAGUGAUGAAAGGCCAAAAGUCCAUGACAUAUCAUCAUUCCAACUGAGAUCCAAAACCUUUAAAUUAGAAAGAUUUCCAACGUGAGGAGGAAUAAUACCUUGAAAACCAGCAUAAGAGAGAUUGAGAUAUCUCAGCUCUUUGAAGGAACCAAUGAACUCAGGGAACCGGCUUCCUCUAAUAUAAUUCCAACUCAAGUCCAGGUACUUGAGAUGCCUCAACUCAGCCAAAGAAGAGUUCACCUCAUUACCAACUAAGUAGCCUUCUCCUUCACUGUCAGAAGGGUCUCCUCCGAGAUUGAGGCUGUCAACGGUUCCAGUGAGACUGUCACAGUGGAUUCUUUCCCACUGGCAACAAUCCUUACCCACCCAUGAAGACAUCAUUCCAGAAGUAUCUUCAACACUCCCUUUGAACCUGAGAAGAGCAAGUCGUUCUUUCUGGGAGCAAACAACAGUGACAUUUCCAACACCCAAACAAGUAUAUUUCGUUGCAAACAAAAAAACACAUAUGAAAAUGAGAUUGAGCCCCAAACCCCACGGAUUCCCCAUUUAUCAACCCUCCCUAACUCAGUUUAAUUUAGAAGAAAGUUGAAGUGGAAAGAUAGUUUGUUAUGAUGAAGUGAUAGAUUAUUAUGAAGAAGAAACCAGUUCAUUUAUAAUGCCACAAAUGAAGAACAACUUAAUGCCAUGGAAGACUUCAAGUCAAUGGACAUUUGUCUCCACAAGUUGUGUUUUUGUGGUCCAAGUCUGUUCCCCAUGUCAGAUGCAAUUGCAUAUGGAAACAAUUCUUUAAAAAAUUAUAAAUAAAAUGAAGCACAAUAAUUGACAAACAAGCAUUUAGAUUUUUAAGAAAUCCAAGAUAAAUUAUAACCUUUUGUAAAUAGUAGGUGUAAAUCAAUAUAAACUUAAUUUUGAUGUUCAAUCAUUUUACAAAACUAACUACAAGAAAAUAAGUUUUUUUGUUAUUAUUUGACUUGACAAGGCUGGUGUGACAAGCCUAGCUAAUUAAAAGAUACUUUCUUCUGUAACUCUAAAUUAAAGAUAUUAUAUUAUCUUUUAUAAAAAAAAUGUAGCCUUCUCAAAUGCAUUACGGUUUUAUUAGACAACCCAUUCACUUGAAAAUAGAUAUUUGUUUUAUUAAUAAUAAAAAAACCUAUUUUCAUAAUAAUAAAAAUAGUAUAUAAAGAGAUGUUGCGGAGAAUAAAAAGGAAGUGGUGGGGGUUGGUGGAUUUGUGGGACCCAAUGUUUUAAUAAUAACAAAAAUAAGGUAUAAAAAAGUAAUUAAAAAAUAAAAAAUCUAGGAAGGGCAAAAUAGUCUUUUAGGUCAGUUAGGGACGAAAACUGUAACAAAACAAUAUCACAUGGACGAUUUGUUUAAUUUACUCUAGGUUUUUGCUUUUAAAUUUGAUACCAAUAUUGCUACAAAUGAUUAUGGCUUUUAGCGAAUUGGUGUUAUUGAAUUGGAACACUUUUGAUUAGAGUCUAAUGUCCCAUGGCACACAUAAAUGCAUUUGGCCAAAAGUCUUCCACACAAAGACUUUGAAGUCAACAAAGUAACACUCACACACAAAAAAGGGGGCCAUGAUUGAUGCAACUUUCUUGUGGAAUUUUUCCAUGCAACUUCUCCCCAUCAAAUGUAUUCCUCUUUGCUAUUAUUCCAUGAAAAUUUACAAAGUUCAGGAAAAACGUCUUAUCCACUUUAACUAGAAAGAAUUUGCAAACAAAACUGACCCAUGACAUGGAAUGGAGGAUAAUAACCGAGAUCAUGAAGAGACAUGUUGUUCCAGGUAGAUGCACUAAAAAUGACCUAAAGAAACAAAAUAUAAAGAAGCAAAAUAGCCAGGUUAGUCAUGAAACCAUACAUAAAAAAAUUUAAUACAUAAGAGCUUUUUAAUGUUUCCUGUUAAACCAACAUGAAUAUAGAAGAGCUUUUUAUUUUAUUUUAUUUUCGUUUUCUGUGGAUCAAAAUAAGUGGGUUUUGGCAAAGUUUAUUCCGAAUGGCAGAAGCAAAUGUAUUUGACAACAAAUCUAUAAAAUAAAUGAAUUGAAUAUUUGGUAAGAUUACUAUUCAAUUAGAAGUCACUACACAAGACUUGGAAGUCUAUAGACAGUUUUAGCCACAAACUGGUAUGCUCUGGAUCUGGACUGUAUAUUUUUUUUCUAUGCCCCAAGGAACACACAAAUGUAUUUGGCCACAAGUAUUUUUCACAAAAGAAAUUUCAGUCAACAAAGUAAACCCCCCAAAUAAAUAACAUGGACAAAAGAAAAUAGUGACAUGAUUGAUGCACCAAGAAUCUUUUCUUAUGGAAUUUUCCAUACAACUUCUCCCUAACAAAUAUAUUCCACUUUUAUUGUUAUUCCAUGGAAAACAAAACUAGUAUCAGGAAUUCAGGAAUGAAUAAUCAGUCUAACAAACAGUGGCAUGAAGUAACUAUAUUCAGCUCAACUUAAUUUAAUAUUAUCAAUUCUUACGACAAGUUCAAAUGUUGUUAUGUUGAAGAAACCACUUCAUUUAUAAUGCCAUCAAUGAAGAACAACUAAUUUCCAUGCCAUGGAAGACUUGAAGUCAACGGACAUUUGUAUGCACAAGUUGACUUUUUGUGGUCCCCAUGGUAGACAGCUAGACACAAUUGUAUAUGGCAACAAUUCUUUUAAAAAAUAUAAAAUAAAUGACAAACAAGCAUUUAGAUUUUCAAGAAGUAUAGGAUAAUUUAUAAUAUUUUGUAAAUACUAGUUAUAAAUUAUAAACUUGAUUUUGAUGUUCAAUCAUUUUACAAAACUAACUUCAAGAAAAUAAGUUUUUUUGUUAUUAUUUGACUCGACAAGGUUGAUGUGUCAAGCUUAAUUAAAAGAUACAUUAUGUAACUCCACAUUAAAGAUAUUAUAUAUUUUUUUAUAAAAGAUGUAUUUUCUCAAAUGCAUUACGAUUUCAUUAGACAUAACAAUUUCAACCCAAUUAAUUGAAAAAUAGGUAUUUGUUAUAUUAAUAAUAAAAAUACCUAUUUUCAUAAUAAUAUAAAUAGAUAUAUAAAGAGAUGUUGAGGAGAUAAAAACGGGGUGGGGUGGGGGUUGAGGAAUUUAUGGGACCCAAUGUUUUAAUAAUAAAAAAAUAAAGUACAAAAAAUAAUUAAAGAUAUAAAAAAUCUAGUAAGGGAAAAAAUGUAUUUUUAGGUCUGUUAGGGAUAAAAAUCAUAACAAAACAAUACCAAAUGCAUGGUCCGAAUUGAGAAAUAAUAAUAUUAAAUAAGGGACCAAGCAUACAUAUUACCUUAAACCACAGGGACCAUUCAUGCAAUUUACUCUAGUUUUUUUCUUUUAAAUUUGAUACCAAUGUUUUUACAAUUGUUUUUGGCUUUUAACAAAUUGAUGGUAGUGAAUUGGAACACCAUUGAGGAAUUGUCUAUGGCCCAUGGCAUACGUCAAUGCAUUUGGCAAAAAAAGUCUUCCAAACAACAAAGCAAACCCACUAAUCACACACACACACACAAAAAAAAAGAAAAAAAAAAAGGACAUGAUUGAUGCACUAAGUAAGCAUCUUUCUUGUGGAAUUUUCCAUGAAACUUCUCCCUAUCAAAUGUAUUCAUCUUUAAUAUAAUUAUAAGUAUCUUUUAAAUCUAAAAUAAAUUACAAUCAUAUUUUAACCUAAAAUAUCUUUAAUAUAACUACUUUUAAAGAUUAAUGAAAUUAUAUACCAAUAGUUUUUAAGUAAAUACACGAAUGGUCUCUAUGAUUUCAGGUAAUUAGCGUGUAUUGUCCUUUAACCGUUUUUUUAAACUUGGAUGGUCCCUAUGGUUUGGUUUUGUUUCGGGUUUGGUACCCAACAAACUUAAUAUGACUAUCUUGCGCUUAAUAAUAUUUUUCUAUAAUUUUUUAGUUCAUUUUUUAUUAUUAUGUUAUUAUUAAAUAGAGUAAAUUAUUAAUGUCUAAAAUGAUACUUCACCAAACACCAGAUGCUGCCCUUGAAACCACCUCCCCCACCAUUGCAAAAGAUUGAAGGAUCCAGCCUCACACCAUUUUCCCCUCUGUUACAGACAAAAAACAACAUCAUCAUCCAUUCCUGAUGAAAAUCAAAUUCAUACCAAGUUCACUCGAUCAGAUAUAUAAUCUCAACUCUCGUAAAAAUGUUAAAAAAAAGAAACGAAAGAAGAAAUGCACAUAAACCAUCAGUGCAGAAGUUAACUGGAAGCACAAGUUUGGGGACACUAGAAACCAUAUCAUGUACAUCAUGAUCUUGCGCAUGUGUAAGCUUUGACAGCAUGCAGUGCCUACUGAAAAAGGUUUAUUUACUAAUACGAUAAUUAUGGUAUCAUGUACAAAACCUAAUCUGAUUAUAUUGGGAGCAAUUACGUGUACACACAUACAUAUAUAAUAUUUGGCCUGGUAAAACUGUACACACAUAAAUAAAUAAAAAUUCAUUUGUAGGAACUGCUUUCAUAGCAUAUGAAGAAGAACCGGUUCCUAAUAUAGCAGCAAUAUGAAAACAUGUUUUUUUUUUUCAAUUUUCUCACAGUAAAACAAAAGCAAGAGAAAAUAGAGGCUUUUCACGAGCACAGGUCAACAUAGGACUAUAGUCUAUAGGUGAUUCGUUGAUACAAUAAAAAAAUACAAACACUUUUAAGUAUCAAAGGAUCUACUGAGAAGCAGAGGUUUAAUUGAGCUUGAAGCAUUUCCUCCCUUAAACAGGUAAUUACAGAUUACGUGGUGACAUUAUAUCUACCAUUAGGAGCUGCAAGUGUGUUGCAAAACAGAGGCUAUCACCAUCUGCUUAUAUGCAUCAUUACCUUCUCUGUGUUACAGGUCCCAAUUUGUGAGACAAUUAGGUCAGACAGAAUCAUAAAAUCGUAGAUGGAUCAUUUUCCCAGUAUACACCAAUGAAAUUGGAUUAGCAUAUAUGCAUCGUUUUCAACAGCCCUUAAUUACUAUCUUUUUUAUCUUACAGGUCCCAAUUUGUGUGCUUUGUAGCAUUUUCUCAUUUUUCUUAAAAAACAAAUACAGCAAAGUUCAUAAAGUAUAGAAAAUUAGGCCUAAGAAAAAUAGAAAAUCGGAAAACAUACCAAGUGAACACCAUAUGAAUCGGCAGUUUAGGCUUCGCCUUUCCCCGUUCUCGUCUACUUCCCAGUGACGAUAGUUUUGAGAGGACCGGAAAUUUGGGGGAAAGUUUGUUACGAGUAAAUUACAAAUUUGGUCCCUUAGGUUUUGUUUUGUUACAGAUAUAAUCUAUUUAGUAAAAUCUAGGAUAAAUUACGAAUUUUGUACUUUUUGUAUUAUGUCAAAACCUAUGAUUUUUAUCUUUAUUUCUUCGAUCAGACUAUUCAUGUGUAAUGUCCUCAAAAAUAGGUCAAGCAAAUAGAAGCGAGUUAAAGUGUUUAAAGGAAGAAGAAGUGAUGUUGUGUUACUAUGAAAAAAAAAAUGAUGUCUUUAUAAAUACUAGUUGUGGGACCCAUGUAUUAUAUGGGUUGAUUUUUAUUUUUUUUUAAAAUAAAUAUAAAAAUCAAAAUAUUUGAGAACUUUGAAUUUAUAAGAAAAAUAAUGAAUUAUUAUAAUUGAAAUAUUUUUUAUCUUUUAAAUUUAAACAAGUAAUUUAAAUAAAUAAACAAAAGAAGUUAAUAAAGCUUUAAUCUUGGAAUUUUGAAAUUAAAAGGUAAGUUUUAUUAAUGAAAAUUUUCCACAAAAAAGAGGCCAUGAUUGAUGCACUAAAUAAGCAUCUUUCUUGUGGAAUUUUUCCAUGCAACUUCUCCCUAUCAAAUGUAUUCCUCUUUGCUAUUAUUCCAUGAAAAAUUACAAAAGUUGAGGAAAAACGUCUUAUCCUUUGAAGUUUGAAUUAGACAGAAUUUGGCAACAAAACUGAUCCGUGACAUGGAAUGGAGGAUAAUACCCAGGAAGAUGCACUAAAAAUGACCUAAAGAAACAAAAUAUAAAGAAGCAAAAUAGCCAGGAUAAUCAUGAAACCAUACAUAAAAAAAUAUAACACAUAAUUAAUACAUAAGAAAUUUUUAAUGUUUCCUAGGUUAAACCAACAUAAAUAUAAUAAGGGAUUAGUGCAAAAACCAACGCACUUUUAUUUAUUUAUAUAUUAAAGCAUCAUAACCCAUAAGAUAAUGAAUAUAGAAGAGCUUUUUAUUUUAUUUUUUUCAUUUUCUGUGGAUCAAAAUAAGUUUGUUUAUGGCCAAAGUCUAUUCCCCAAGGCAGAAGCAAGUGUAUUUGACAAGAAAUCUAUAAAAAAAAUGAAUUGAAUAUUUGGUAAGAUUACUAUUCAGUUAGAAGUCACUACACAAGACUUGGAAGUCUAUGGACAGUUUGUUUGUAGCCACAAACUGUAUAAAAAAAAAUGAAUUGUAUAUUUUUCACAAAAGAAAUUUGAGUCAACAAAAUAAACCUCCAAAUAACACGGACACAGAAAAAUAAUGCCAUGAUUGAUGCACCAAAAAUCUUCCUUAUGGAAUUUUCCAUGCAACUUCUCCCUAAAAAAUAUAUUCCUUUUUUAUUGUUAUUCCAUGGAAAACAAAACUAGUAUCAGGAAUUCAGGAAUGAAUAAUCAGUCUAACAAACAGUGGCAUGAAGUAACUAUAUUCAGGUUAACUUAAUUUAAUUAAUAUUAUCAAUUCUUAUAUAUGAUAAGUUCAAAUGUUAAUUAACAUAUUCCAUAACUGAUAUUUUGUAAUUUUUACAUAUGUACUAUCAUAGAAACAUCACAGAUUUAAUCUAAUGAAUGAGAAAGAGUGUAAAACAAAAAACAAUGUCUUUAUCAAUGCCAUAAAUCAUGAAGAUUUUAUUUUCAUUUCCUAAAAUAUCACUUCUCAAACAACUUCUGCUUAACCCUCAACUUUCAUUUUACCCUCAGUUGGUCCUCUAAGUUGCACUUCUUCAUGAAAUUAAAUACAGUAUGAUUUUGAGGGACAAUUCCAACCCAUUUAUAGGUAAAUGGACAGUCAUUAAAUGUUUAUUAAAAUUUAAAAGAUUAAUAUUUUACUUUUUUUAGAUUAAUUUAUAACAGCUUUCCUGAAAUUUUUACUUUUUACUAACUAAAAUAGGAUAUCCAUAUAUAAAGAUUUCCCUUUAUAAAACCCAUUAUUCAACCGAUGAAAAAAAAAACAAAAUACAAACAUUGAUUUUUCCUUCUAUUAAGUCGAUGAAAUAACAAUUCAACGGAAAAAACAAUAUCGCAAAUAUGCUUUAAGAUAAAUUUUCAUGAUUAUCAAUAAUAUCAAUUUAAAAGAAGCUUUGAAAUGGUGAAUCAAUAUUUGUUCAACUAAUUGUUAGAUACAUAUAAAAAAAAUUGAACUGGGCAUGUAACCUUUACACAUUAUUUGGUGCUCUCUCUUUAUUAGAACUAAUGCUGAUUUUUAUUAAAUGACAAUGUUGUUAUUUACCAAAUUUCAUUUCAUUUAAACGUCCAUAAAUACGAACUAAAAAACAUGUUGGAAUAGUUCAUUUCGAUCCUAUAGACCAAAGAAACAUGAUAGUGAAAUGAUAAUUAUCUAUCUUAUUGCCAUGUUCUUUAGAUUUCUAUGUUCAUUCAAUUAUUUGUGAUUCCACCCACGCCUAAUGCCCCAUAGAUCGUUUGAAUUGUAUAUGAACAACAAUCAAGUUUAGCUCAAAUGGUAAAAAGCACCUACCUGAGUUCCCUUUGUUGAAAAAUAGGAGAUAAAAAAUACCAACGAAAAACUAUAAGUUUUCAUUCAAUGACUUUAAAGUCAACAAAAAACUAUAAACUUGAUUUUGACAUAUAAAAGUUUUACAAAACUAACUUGAAGUUUUUGAUUAUUCAACUUUAACAGAUUAUGAGGAGACAUAAUCUCAUGUGGUAGAAGCAACUACUUUUUAAUAGGUUAUCAGUCUCACAAUAUAAGAAAUAUUGACUUGCAUAUGAUGGAUCUUGCUACUGCCUAUUUGUAGUUUUGUACUCCUCCCAUGAUACCAAUCUUUUAUAUAAACUUUUACCUCCCUCAAAAGAUUUAAACCACCAUAAACAAGUAAGAUGGGAUCUCAAGAACACUAUUUGAUCAAAUUAAACAAGUCAUUACAUAUUUUGUUGCUAAUCAUACAAGACUUGACUUUGGUUAAGACCCCUUUCAACCUUUUAAAGAUUCCAAGGAAAUUGGUGGUCCAAAGCACAUUUAAGUGUCAUUUAAACAAGUCAUUAAUAUAUCUUGCUAAUAAUAAGAUGAAUUAUUAAAAUCAUACAUAUACAUGUUAUCCUUUAGAAGAAUGAUAUAAUAGUUAAGUAUGUGAUCUUGGCAUCUUGCUAACAUAUAUCAUCAUUAAGUAAAUUAAAAAUUAAUAAAUAGAAAUUACAAUCUCAAUAUAUAUAUCAUCUAUCAUUUUCUUGAAAUUUUACCCAAUUCUAAAGGGAUUCCCGGGAUUUUGUUUCUGUUGCUGUUUUGUUGUGUAAUUGUUUAAAUCUUUGUUUUCUUCUAUUUUUUAAAAAACAUUACUGUAAUGAUUAUGAAACUUCAAGUGUUCCCAUAUCUUUGCUUUAGAAAUGUGUUCUUCAACUACAACAUCUCUUCAAAGUUAUAACCAGAUUUGACAGUUACCCAUGUUCUUUAUCUGAAAAGUAUUACAUCUGACUCGGAAUAAAUAAUUCUAUGUGGAAGAAGGUAUGUAAGACAAUGACUUUUGUAACUAUUAAUCUAUUAACUUAAAUACUUACACUUUGGUAUUUGGUAAUUUAUUUAAUUACUUAUUUAUGUUUUAUGAAUAUAUGUAAUUGAAGUAGAAAGUAAUUGUGGUCAACAAGAUUUUCUUCUAUGGUUACAGCACCAGUUAUUUUCAUGUUUAUUGUAGCAUUUGAGCAUCUAUUCGUUUAUCUCCAAAAAUCAAAUAAAUUCAUAUCAAUUUUACACUUGAUCGUUUGGUAUUCAAAAUCAAAGAAGAAGAACCAACUCUAUACCUAUGAUAUCAUCUGGCUAGAACAUGUCAAAAUAGAACCUAAUGUGAUAAUAUUGGAAGUAAGUACACACAUACAUGCUGGGUUUCCUCAUAACUAUUCCCCCAUCCUUGGAUAAACCAAAUAAAAUUAUACAUAAAUAAAUUGAUACAUCAUUUGUAAGAACUUUCAUGGAAUAUGAAGAAGAACCAAUUCUAUAAUUAUGCAGCAUUGCAAGAAAUGUUUUUUUUUUUCCAAUGCUGCAGCAACUAAUACUCUAGGGUUGAUGUGUACUGAUCAAAAUAAGUGAUUGGUUGGUUGAUAUAAUAUGAUACAAGCACUUGCGUAAGCACCAAAGGAUCUACUAAGAAGCAGGGGAGAUAAUUUAGUAUAAAGCAUUUGCUACAGAUUAUAUUUAGCAUUGGGAGCUGCAAGUGUGUUGCAGAACAAGGCCAUCAGGAUCAUUUGAAACAUAUAAAUAUAUAAAUGCAUCAUUUUUAAUGAUGCUAAAUUUCAAUCUUCUCUGUGUUAUGGGUCCCAACAUGUGAAAAUUAGGUCAAAUAGAAAAAAGAAGGAAAAAAAAACUUACGAGGUUAAUAUUGUCGACAACGACUGAGGAAUGAAGGAGAGGGAUGAAUCAACAAUUGAUGGCUUUGGAUUUUCCUUGUCCUCGCCUCUUCGCUGGUAGUGACGGAGGAUAGGGUAUGAGAACGCGAUCGUCGACGGAGGAAUAAACAAAAGGAGAUUUUGGGGGAAAUUGUGUGUGGGCCACGAGUCUUCUUGCUGUAAAAAAUAAAUUUUGGCUCAUUUGAAUUUUGCGUAUUUUGUGGUAAUAUUAAAUUUUAUUCGUUCAUCAUUUUUUAUGGUUUUUUAUAGACAAAACUGCACAAAUGGUCCCUGUGGUUUGUCAAAAAUUGUCACUUUGGUCCAAAAAAGUUUGGGCUAGCACCAGAGGUCCAAAGUUUUCAUUUUGUUGCUUGUUUGGUCCAAUCUAUUAUGAUUUUUUUCAAAAUGACGGAUUUGCCCCUGUUAAUAUGAUUUUUUUUCUUUGUUUCUUAAUUGUUUUUUUGAUUUUCAGAUUCAAAAAAAAUAAAAAUAAAAUUAAAUCUCUCUCUCCUCUCUUUCUCUCUAUUUCUUUCUCUCUCCUCUCUCCUCUAUCUCUUUCUUCAAUCUUCCUUCUCGUCACUCCUUUUUUCUUCGACUCCCAAAUACCAACUGUACCACCAAUUCCAAUAUCAGUCACAAACCGACGGCCGAACACCAUGGCUCCGUUCAACCCUGCAGUCUGGAAAUCAGACUGUUACUGUGCCCCGGCACAUGAUUCUCCGGCUAGGUGUUGCUGUGAUUCGGCACCGGCCCUACAACUUGAACGGAUCUUCACCUACUAUGUUGGGUACUAGGUUUACCAACUAUCUACAACUAACUGUAUACUCUGGCUAUGUACUGUUGUAGAAGAUUGAGUUGAUUUAGAGAGCCAAUUAAUGGAGGAAUUGGACCGGAGACUAAGCUAGACAUAAGGUCGAGCACCUGGAGUGCACCCGUCUUCUUCCUCAUGAACAUCAUCAUCUUCUUCCUCUCUUCAUAUUCCAACCAAUACCACCACCCAUCUCUGCCUCCGUCGAUAGUUGGGUGCUUUAGAACCCAAGAUUUGAGAUAAUUUGACACAAUGUUGUUGAGCCCUUGCUACUUGAAGUCGAUCAGAUCUAUCACCUUUCUUACUCUGCUUCCCUGUUAAUUACAAACACAAUCCAGUCAAUACAUUUAGAUUAGAGCACGCUUCUUGCUAAUAAGCACCAGUGAGGAGAUAAGUUGAAGAACGAGGGAGAUGGCGGUGAAGAUUGAUGUCGCUGCUAAAAUGAUAUUGGCGUUGAAGGUGGGUUUCAAUGAGAAAAGGGGUGGCAGAGCAGGAGGACCACGAUGGAGACGAUGGUGGUGGGAGCUAAGAGUUUUUUCUAGGUUUUUUCUUUGUAUGGUUUUCCCUAUUUGUUCUAAAUGAAGAUUCAGUAUUAAUUUAUGGUAAAAUUGAUUUUGAUUUUAUAAAAUCAAGAGAGAGAGAGAGAGAGAAAGAGAUAGAUGAGAGAGAGGGAGAGAGAGAGAGAAAGAGAUAGAUGAGAGAGAGAGGGAGAGAGAGAGAGAGAAAGAGAAAGAAAAGAGAGAGAGAGAGAGAGAGAGAGAUUUAAUUUUAUUUUUUUUUUAAUCUGAAAAUCAGAAAAACAAUUAAGAAAAAACCAAAAAAUCAUAUCGACAAGGGCAAAUCCGUCAUUUUGAAAAAAAAUCAUAAUAGAUUGGACCAAACAAGCAAUGAAAUGAAAACUUUUGACCUCUGGUGCUAGCCCAAACUUUUUUGGACCAAAGUGGCAAUUUUUGACAAACCACAAGGACCAUUUGUGCAGUUUUGUCUUUUUUAUAUUUUAUUAAAUUUCAUAGGAUAAUAAAUAGAUAUUAAUUUUAAUAAUUCACUUUCUAAAUUUAAAAUUUCUAAUUGGAGAAUUCAAUCAUAUUUUAAUGUCAUUAAAUUAGGAACAAAAUUAACGGAUGUUUUUGGUAAAUAUAAUUUCUAUAUCUUCCUCGUUAUAUUUGAUGCGACAUUAACCUCUGACGAUUCUUUUGGUCUUCUGCUGCUGCGGAGAUCUGCUAGUCACAAUCAGAGAGAUGCGUUAGAGUCGUCCCAGGGACUGUGCCUCGGGUGCGGACACCGAUGAUCAAGUUAGAUCAGCUGAUAGAUCUGAGAUGGUCCUAAAUAGCUGGAGAGAACCAUCUUGGUGCUGGUGGUGGUGUAUGGUGGCUGAUGGCGGCGGAUGGCGGUUGAGCCACCCGGCAUGUGUAUAGUGUGGCGGCUAAGCUAAGGGGAAGAUCCCCCUCCAUGGAGGAGGUACUGUUCAUUAUAUAGGGGACAAUUAGGUCAAGGGGAAUUAGGUCAGGCCUUGGGCCCGCCUAAUUCAGGCCCAACUAGCAAGGAGUUGGGCAAGGCCGCUCGGAGGCACCGGGCGGCGCUGGUGAGCGCGCACCAGGAAAGAUUGGCAAGGGGCACUAGGCAAAGGAGCAUCGGGCCGGGCCGGCAGGAGAGUCCCCAGCAUGGCUGGCAAGGGAGCACCAGGAAAGGCUGGCAAGGGGACACUAGGCAAGGCUGGCGGGAGCGCGCCAGGCCAAGCUGGCGCUUUAGAGUGGUCUAGGCCAUGCUAAUGUACCAUAUAUCAUCAAGUCCCCCCAGUCUGGUGUUAUUGGUACGCGGCCAAUGACAUCGGACUAGAACUAGUCAUAUAAACUAGCAGGAGAGUCCCCAGCGAGGCUGGCAAGGGAACGCCAGGCAUGGCUGGCAGGAGCGCGCCAGGCCAGGCCGGCGCAUAGAGCAGUCUGGGCCAUGGUAGUGGACCAUAUAUCAUCAAGUCCCCCCAGUCUGGUGUUAUUGGUACGCGGCCAAUGACAUCGGACUGGACUUAGUCAUAUAAACUGUGCGUCAUCAAGUCCCCCUAGUCUGAUGCGAUUGGGUUGCUGACAAUUGGAUCGGACUAGAUAAAGCACCAAUAUAUCAAAGAAUAGAGAGAACGUUCGAACCUUGCCCACGAGAGUCGUGGUGUUGCGUGAUGAGCCAAGCAUUACUUAUGUAGCCUUGACUAGAUACUCCUUCGUUGAGAGGAGUGCGAGGUUGCUAAAGAGUGUUACGCGACACUAAUGUCGAUAAAAUGUUUGGCCAGUGUAGCUAAGGAGUGUAAGCUCGCCAUACAGUCUCUAAGACCGUUAUUCGACACGAUUGUUGUGGUAUUCAUGCGCAUAUGGAGCUUAGCGUCCAACAAUCUAUGUGUCUGGCCCGGGUGAUCAGCUCGUGUUGAAGUGUAAUGGCGUCUAAUGCUUUGCUGUAUCACUAGUUUGGUGAUUGGUGCUUCGCUGUCUUGGCUAUCUGUCGAAGGCUAUGUAACGAUGCUACUUAGAGUUGUAUAAUGUAGUUGUUAUCGAGUGGUGCACAGCGAGACUGCCGUCGAGAGCUGGUCAACAUGGCCGCUGAGAGCUGAGCAUCGAGCUGCUAGCGAUACAUGAGCAACAUGACCACUGAGAGUUGGGCAACGAGUCUCCCGAGGAUUGAACCACGAGGCUGCUCUUAUGAUCUGGAAUAUGGGUGUCACCCUGGGGGUGCACUGUCAUGGACAACAUCAGCUCUUCCUGUACACUAACUUUACCCAUUCGGAGUAAAAAUUACUUCUGCAUAGUAUCGCAGCAACCCUACCCCCCCCUUUUUUUAAAGGAGACGAGGAAUAGAAACGAUGGAUGAAUAGUUGCAGGAAUUUGGGCAACACAGCUACUGAGAAAAGCUAAGCGACCCAAGUACCAACAAAAACUGGGCAGCGCAACUGGCAUGACUGCUGGGAGUCAGGCAAUGUAAUUGCUGAUGAUUGGGCUGCGCAACCGCUGGGAGUUGAGCAACGAGACUAGCAGGGGCCAAUCAACAUAAAUGGUGAGGGUUGAGUAGCAAGAUUGCUUGAAGUUGGUCAACACAGUUGUUGAUAGCCGCGCAACGCAGCUGCUGAUUGUUAUUUCGAAAUGAUUCACUAGUAGUAGUAGCGUAUUACUCUUCUCCCACCCCCCUCCCCUUUUUUUUUGGAAAAGUUGUCGAGAGUUUGAGUCGCAACGCAUUCUGAUGAGCGAAACUUGCGUUGCGCAUGUAACGCCCUGUUCUAAAAGUAUUCGUUCGUGGAUUUCAAAAACCAAAGCUAGGGGUGUUUUGGUCAUUUAUGGGAUUGGAGUUUAUUUUGAGAAGGUUUUGGGGCUGAGACAUGCUGCUAGAAGCGUAGGGCUUCUCGCCACCUUUCUGUGGAUAUAAAGUUCAUCAGAAACGGAUUUAGAAUGAAGAAGAUAUGACACUUUGAAGAUUUGGCAAUAAUGGCCCUUAAGGAGAAAAGUUCGCAUGUAAGGCCAUGCACGCAUGUUUGGAACACGCGUGGGUACGCCCAACGUAAGCUGGGUUACGCCCAGCAUACUGGGGCAACUUGGUCGCGGAUGUUCAAGGCGUACGCCCAACGUACAUGGAGGUACGCCCAGCGUAAGCUAAAAGUCAUGAAACCCUAAUUUUUGGGUUGAACAUUAUAUAAAGAACAUGUUGGCUUCAACCCUAACCCCAUUUCAGCCUCCCCAACCUCAGAAGAAACCCUAGAACAUCCCUACCCUCAUUUAGGUCAAGCACUACUUCUUUCGGAGUUUGGUGAGUUCUUGUGAAACAGCGAAGAAGGUUUGGGAUAUGAUGAAAGAACUCUAGUCGAGUGAUGCAGAUCUUGAGCAUUUAGGUCAAGCACUACUUCUUUCGGAGUUUGGUGCUUUUGCUCAAAAGCCAGAUGAGAAACUCUAUGUUGACUUCAACUUGACAUGCUCCUUUGGAUUGUUAUUUGGGUUUAGCUCUAACAAUGACUAUAUAGUUAGAAUAAUGGUUUUAUGUUUAUUGGGGUGAUAAAAGCAUUGCCAUUCGGAACCAUUCAUUUCAAAGGGAUUAUAUAUGAAUGGAUUUCUACAAGAACUUUCAUGUUUACACUAUGGUUUACUCUGCUUUGUUGCAUUUAUCAUUUUCACUGCACCAAUUGUUGUAGAAAUACAUAAAUAAUUAUGUAAAAACAAAAUCACACAUAUGUCCUUUUUUGUUUAUAUCGACACAAUCAUAAAACUUCAUUCAACAUAGAAAAUGUGACACUUAUGUAUAAAUAGUUUAUUCUUGUCUUAUAGUUAUUCACUUAAGGGAGGUUUUGGUUUGGUUGAAUUAGACUCCUAAGAGAUUUAACAAUGUGGUUGUGGCUCUUAUAAAGAAACAUUGUGUAAUCUAAACAACUUCAUGAUAUCCAAAAUGGUGGAAAUCAUAUUUUGUAAGCAUGGUAUAUCUUUCAUCAUCUUUAACCAUGUUCUUACUCAUAAAAUUGCUUUGUUUGAACUUUGACGGUUUUCGGAUUAUGUUUUACUAAUAGUCAAAUUUGAUAAAUAGUGGAACCUUAUUGAUUAAAUCAAUGAGAUUAACAUUAAAUAUUUGAUCAAUAGUGGAACCUUGUCAUAUAAUCAUCUGGUUAAUUGCUUGGUCUUCUAUGUUACAAAAUCAAAUUGAACAAGAUGAUGACAAGUUUCAAAAGAAACAAAGAAGCAUGGAUCGAAUAUAGGAUAAUAAUCUGCAUUUUACAAGCUAAAUGUACAACCUUUAAUAUAAGAAGUUCUCUAGCAAUUGUUUCAUCAUGGACUAUAUUUAAUGUACAUGAAAGGAAGAACAAUGUGUUGCUUUCUUCAAACACUACAUAAAUGAAUUCAAAACAACCUAAACUAUAUAUGAAGAUGAAAGUACUAUGGUGGCUUUUGUAACACAAGGCAAGAUUUCUAAGACUAUUUUCAAAGAGGGUCGGGGGUGGGGGGACUGAUAUCUUUUGCACAACCAAAGAACAAGAGCAAGUCACCAUCUCAUCUUUUUGGGCAGGACAAAAAAUUGCAAUUUGUCUCAUUGGCAUUAAUCCCGGUUUUAGCACACCAAAUAUUGGUACAUUUCUAUGUAAUAAAGGAGAUGUAGAAGAGAAGAAAAAUGAUACUAAAGAUGUAUAUGAGGAACUAAUCUUGGAAGAAAACUAUAGGAAACAAGUACUUAACUACUUUGAAAAAUAGAUCAAGAUAUGAAACAUAGAUCCAAAUAGUAGCAUUAAAACAAAAACUUCAUUGAUAACAUAUAUCCGAGAAUUACUUGCAUUCCAGAGGGCCUAUACAGCUUCUCUUCCUCUCUUGAUCUUGGCAACAACUGUUACCAUGACUGCAACGUAUAUCUUGUCCAUGAUUUUCUCAACAAACCUGAAAAUCUUCCAUCUCCAGUGCUUCUUCAACAACAGAACUCCAAUUACACCCCAAAACCCUGUUGCAAAUCCACUCAUUAUGUCCGGGUAAAACCACCAUACCUUGAUCGACUCCUCAGCUGCUUUAUGUUUCUUCUUGGGCUUUGCUGUUGUUGUUGGGUCUUGAUGAUCUGAGCAAUUGUUUGUCAAUGGAGGUCCACAAAGAUCUCUGUUCCCACCAUAUAUUGAUGGAUCAUCAAUAAGGGUCUGCAAUUGAUGGCCUGUUGGAAUUCUUCCCCACAAGUUGUUGUGUGACAGAUUCAAAUGACUCAAAAAAAUCAAAGUUGCCAUGCUUGGAGGGAUCAUCCCGGUCAACUCAUUGUUUGAGAAAUCAAGAGAAAAUAAUGCCGUCAAGUUUCCAAUGGUGUCUGGAAUAUUCCCACUGAGAUGAUUAUUAGACAAAUUGAGACCCACCAACAUAGAAAGUGCAGUUAUCUCUUUAGGUAUUUCUCCUACGAGUUUAUUGCUUGAAAGGUCCAUGUUAUAAACUAUAUCCAAAAUUCUUGUUUAUUCAAGAUCAACACCUUUCAUAACCUGAAUCACAUUCUCAUUAGAAUCAUCACCACCAUUACUGUCAUACCACUUUUCUGCACCAUUAACCAUUGCAUUCAACUCUCUUAGGCAAUGAGGGAUGAUACCCGUUAAGUUGUUGUAUGCAACAUCCAAAAUUUGAAGAUUUGACAUUUUGCAUAAAGAUUCAGGAAUUUCCCCGGUAAAGUUAUUCUUGUGUAAUCUUAAAACAAUCAAACUUGUCAGAUUUUAAUUUGAGUUCCCAUGAGAUUCAAUUUCAUUAUAAUCUAAUCUGACAUCUAAACAACACCUAUAUUACAAAUGUCAUACAUAUAUAAAAUCCAAAUAGUAGCAUAAAUAAGCACAAUAGGUGUAUUAAGAAGUAAAACAAUCAUAACUAAUAUACACUUAAGAAAUAUUGUCAAUGGUUUCCUCCACAAACGUGAAAAGCUUCUGUCUCCACUGCUUCAUGAACAACAAAAGUCCAAUAACACCCCAAAACCCUGUUGCAAAACCACACGUUACAUCUACGUAAUACCAUGUCUUCAACCAUGCUUUGGUAGGCGCAUCAGUUUGUUUGUAUUUCUUCUUGGGCAUUGUUAUUGUUGUUGUUGUUGUUUGGUCUUCAUGCUUUGAGCAAUUGUUUGUCAAUGGAGGUCCACAAAGAUCUCUGUUCCCACCAUAUAUUGAUGGAUCAUCAAUAAGGGUCUGCAACUGAUGGCCUGUUGGAAUUCUUCCCCACAAGUUGUUGUGUGACAGAUUCAAAUGACUCAAAAAAGUCAAAGCUGCCAUGCUUGAAGGAAUCAUCCCGGUCAACUCAUUGUUUGAGAAAUCAAGAGAUUCUAACCUCAUCAUGUUUCCAAUGUUUUCUGGAAUUCUCCCACUGAGAUGAUUAUUUGACAAAUUGAGACCCAACAACAUAGAAAGCGCAGUUAUCUCCACAGGUAUUUCUCCUACAAGUUUAUUGCUUGAAAGGUCCAUGUUAUAAACUAUAUCCAAAAUUCUUGUAUAUUCAAGAUCAACACCUUUCAUAACCUGAAUCACAUUCUCAUUAGAAUCAUCACCACCAUUACUGUCAUACCACUUUUCUGCACCGUUAACCAUUGCAUUCAACUCUCUUAGGCAAUGAGGGAUGAUACCCGUUAAGUUGUUGUAUGCAACAUCCAAAAUUUGAAGAUAUGACAUUUUGCAUAAAGAUUCAGGAAUUUCCCGGUAAAGUUAUUCUUGUGUAAUCUUAAAACAAUCAAACUUGUCAGGUUUUCUCCAAUCCAGUGGGGUAUCUUUCCAAACAAUUGAUUAUCACCCACAUCUAGGUCUUUUAAAUCUCUUAAAUUCCCCAACUCUUGAGGAAGUUCACCAGUAAAGUUGUUGUCAUUUAAUUUUAACCAAUGCAAUGAUGAAUGACUAAGUGCUAUAUAGCUUGGAAUGACACCUGAAAGUAAAUUUGAGCUAAGGAUCAUGGCACCCAACCCUUGCAGAUUCUGGAGACAUUUGGGAAUUGUCCCUGUUAACCUAUUUCUGGAAAGAUCAAGUAAAACUAAAUCUGUCCAUCUGCACAAGGACUUCGGAAUUGACUCAUUGAAAAUGUUAUUUGCCAGUAUCAAUGCCUGACCUGUUUCUGGAAGGUUUGUCAAUGGUCCGCUGAGUUUGUUGUGAGAGAGAUCUAAGAAAGCAAUGACAGGCAUCUUCCGCAACCAUGUGGGCAGAGGUCCCGAAAUUGAAGCAUUCGACAACACUAACUCAGAGAGCAAGAACUGAUUCCGUAGCCACUGUGGCAAUCCAUUUGUGAGAUUGCAGGAACUGAGAUCAAGACCAUCCAACUGGAAUGGAGGCAUCCACUUAUGUGAAAAAUUGCAUGUCAACUUCGUGUUAGAAGAAGCUUCCAAGUAACUCAACAUCGAAAGGUUAGCAAAAUGGGCUUCGGAAACUACUCCUUCUAAGGAAUUGUCUGAGAUAUCUAACUCAUUGAGUUUGGCAAGUUGCCCAAUUGAAACCGGAAUAGUCCCAUUUAACAAAUUUGAAGACAACCGAAUUGCUUGUAAUGAAACAAGUCUUCCUAGAGAUGUUGGGAUGGGGCCCGUUAAGUGAUUGGAUUGUAGAUACAAAGAUUCUAAAGCUGCAAGAUUUCCAAAGGAUUCUGGAAUUGAACCAUUCAAUUGGUUAUCAUGUAGAUCUAAUACCUCUAAGAAUCUUAAUCUUCCUAGAGAUUCGGGGAUUGGACCUGUCAAACUGCUCAUUGAUAGAUCUAAGUGUCUUAAAUUGGUUAGUCUUCCAAAUGCUUCUGGAAUCGUACCAUUCAAACACCCACUUAAAUCCAACCGCUCCAAAGCAUAUUGGGAGCAUUCUGAAACGUUUUGCGGUGGGUCAAUCCUUUCUAUUUCAAAAGGAUUUCCAUAUGCAGCCAAUGUUUUCAGGUGACACUGUCUCCAGAUUCCAACAUCCUCAAUAUUCUUAAACUGGUUAACAGAAAGAUCAAGCUCUAGAAGGUUAGCCAUAAUAGGAACCGAAGAAUGCAGCAUGUUUCUUGAGAGAUCAAGGACUCUUAAGGAACUCAUGUUACUGAAAACAGAUGGAAAUAUGCCUUCAAUUGAAUUCCAGCUAAGAUCCAGGUGUUGGAUGUUAGAAAGCAUACAAAGUGACAAAUGCAGCUCUGAUAAAGAAGGGAUCAUGUUUAGCACGUUUGCAAAGUUCCAUGCCAAACUAAGAUUAAAUUUAGAAAGAUCGAGGAAUGCUAGGGAUGUCAUGUUUCGGAAAAAUCCAGGGAGUGGGCCUUUGAAAGAAUUGAAGCCAAGAUCAAGGUGUUUGAUGUUGGGAAGUAUUCUACUCGAAUUAAGAAAAGGACCAAGAUGGGCAUUGGAAAGUCCACAACCAUGCAAACUUAACUCUUUUAACGAAGGAAGAUUGUAAAGCACCAUGCCCAUGUUCUUUGCUCCGCCAAGAUCCACCCAACUCAAGUCGAGAUGCUCGAGUGAUGAAAGGCCAAAAGUCCAUGACAUAUCAUCAUUCCAACUGAGAUCCAAAACCUUUAAAUUAGAAAGAUUUCCAAUGUAAGGAGGAAUAAUACCUUGAAAACCAGCAUAAGAGAGAUUGAGAUAUCUCAGCUGUUUGAAGGAGCCAAUGAACGUAGGGAACCGGCUUCCUCCAAAAUCAUUCUGACUCAAGUCCAGGUACUUGAGAUGCCUCAACUCAGCCAAAGUAAUCUCCUCUGAGAUUGAGGCUGUCAAUGGUUCCAGUGCGACUGCCACAAUGGAUUCUUUCCCACUGGCAACAAUCCUUACCCACCCAUGAAGACAACAUUCCGAAACCAUCUUCGAUGACACUCCCUUUGAACCUGAGAAGAGCAAGUCGUUCUUUCUGGGAGCAAACAACAGUGACAUUUCCAACACCCAAACAAGUAUAUUUGGUUGCAAACAAAAAAACACAUAUGAAAAUGAGAUGGAGCCCCAAACCCCACGGAUUCCCCAUUUAUCAACCCUCCCUAACUCAGUUUAAUUUAGAAGAAAGUUGAAGUGGAAAGAUAGUUUGUUAUGAUGAAGUGAUAGAUUAUUAUGAAGAAGAAACCAGUUCAUUUAUAAUGCCACAAAUGAAGAACAACUUAAUGCCAUGGAAGACUUGAAGUCAAUGGACAUUUGUACCCACAAGUUGUAUUUUUGUGGUCUGAUGCUAUCUUUAUUUCUCUCUUGAUAAAAAAAAAAAAAAAAAAAAGGGGUUUAUGGCCAAGUCUGUUCCCCAUGUCAAACAAGCAUUUAGAUUUUCAAGAUAUCCAAGAUAAUUUAUAAUCUUUUUGUAAAUAGUAGUUGUAAAUUAUAAACUGAAUUUUGAUGUCCAAUCAUUUUACACAACUAACUACAAGAAAAUAAUUUUUUGUUAUUAUUUGACUUGAAAAGGUUGAUGUGCCAAGCCCAAGCCUAAUUAAAAGAUACUUUCUUCUGCAACUCCAAAUUAAAGAUAUUAUAUCAUCUUUUAUAAAAAAAAAAUCCAGUCUUCUCAAAUGCAUUACGGUUUUAUUAGACAUGACAAUUUCAACCCAUUUACUUGAAAAUAGGCACUAAAAAUGACCUAAAUAAACAAUACAAAAUGAAGCAAUUAGAAACAGUUAGUCAUGAAACAAUAUAUACAAGGUUCAGGCAAAACAUCUAAUGCACUUGAAUUAGACAGAAUUUGGGAAUAAAACAAUUUAAACACAUAACAUAAUUAAUACAGGGGAUGAGUCAAGAAAAUAUCAAAAAUUAAAAAACAUGGAAAGCAACAUAACCCAUGAGAUAAUGUAUAUAGAAGAGCUUUUUAACGUUUCCUAGGUUAAACCAACAUAAAUAAAUAUUAUAGCAUCUCACUUUCAUUUGUUUAACCAUAACAUUGUAUUUUCAUUUUUUUUUCUUAUUAUGGCAUUGUGCUUUGAAAUGUGCACCCAGUUAUAACAUUGUUCUUCAAAAAUAAUUCUUAUUAGCAUGCUAUACUUUGAAAAUCAUCCAAAUAAUAGCAGUGAGAAUUCAAUUGCUUUUUACAAUGUUCAGGCCAAAUGCAAUAUGCAACAGUCACUAGGAAGAAGANNNNNNNNNNNNNNNNNNNNNNNNNNNNNNNNNNNNNNNNNNNNNNNNNNNNNNNNNNNNNNNNNNNNNNNNNNNNNNNNNNNNNNNNNNNNNNNNNNNNNNNNNNNNNNNNNNNNNNNNNNNNNNNNNNNNNNNNNNNNNNNNNNNNNNNNNNNNNNNNNNNNNNNNNNNNNNNNNNNNNNNNNNNNNNNNNNNNNNNNNNNNNNNNNNNNNNNNNNNNNNNNNNNNNNNNNNNNNNNNNNNNNNNNNNNNNNNNNNNNNNNNNNNNNNNNNNNNNNNNNNNNNNNNNNNNNNNNNNNNNNNNNNNNNNNNNNNNNNNNNNNNNNNNNNNNNNNNNNNNNNNNNNNNNNNNNNNNNNNNNNNNNNNNNNNNNNNNNNNNNNNNNNNNNNNNNNNNNNNNNNNNNNNNNNNNNNNNNNNNNNNNNNNNNNNNNNNNNNNNNNNNNNNNNNNNNNNNNNNNNNNNNNNNNNNNNNNNNNNNNNNNNNNNNNNNNNNNNNNNNNNNNNNNNNNNNNNNNNNNNNNNNNNNNNNNNNNNNNNNNNNNNNNNNNNNNNNNNNNNNNNNNNNNNNNNNNNNNNNNNNNNNNNNNNNNNNNNNNNNNNNNNNNNNNNNNNNNNNNNNNNNNNNNNNNNNNNNNNNNNNNNNNNNNNNNNNNNNNNNNNNNNNNNNNNNNNNNNNNNNNNNNNNNNNNNNNNNNNNNNNNNNNNNNNNNNNNNNNNNNNNNNNNNNNNNNNNNNNNNNNNNNNNNNNNNNNNNNNNNNNNNNNNNNNNNNNNNNNNNNNNNNNNNNNNNNNNNNNNNNNNNNNNNNNNNNNNNNNNNNNNNNNNNNNNNNNNNNNNNNNNNNNNNNNNNNNNNNNNNNNNNNNNNNNNNNNNNNNNNNNNNNNNNNNNNNNNNNNNNNNNNNNNNNNNNNNNNNNNNNNNNNNNNNNNNNNNNNNNNNNNNNNNNNNNNNNNNNNNNNNNNNNNNNNNNNNNNNNNNNNNNNNNNNNNNNNNNNNNNUGAAAUACGUAAUUCUGUUUAAGUCCUUUUUUGCCUAUUUUUUUUAUUUUUUUUUAUCAAUCAAAAUUAAAUGGUCUGCACGGCUCCUAUGGUUGGCAUGUUACAAUCAUAUUUUAUCCUAAAAUAUCUUUAAUAUAAUUAGAUUUAAACAUUAAAGAAAUUAUAUAAUAGUUUUUUGAGUAAAUUACAUGAAUGGAGUCAUGUAGUUUUGGGUAAUUUGUGUGUAUGGUCCUUAACUAUUUUUUCUAACUCGGACGGUCCUUAUAGUUUGGUUUUGUUUAGGUUUUGUGUCCCCAAACAAAUUAAUAUGACUAUCUUGCUCUCAAUGUAGAUUAGCAUAAACCACAGGGACCAUUUGUGUAAUUUACUCUAGUUUUUUCUUUUAAGUUUGAUACCACUAUUGCUACAAUUUUUUUGGCUUUUAGCGAAUUGGUGUUAUUGAAUUGGAACACUGUUGGGUAUAUUCUAUGCCCCAUGGCACACGUAAAAACAUUUGGCCAAAAGCCUUCCACACAAACUUUGAAGUCAACAAAGUAAACCCCCAAAUAACACUCACACACAAAAAAGGGGACCAUGAUUGAUGAACCAAUCAUCUUUCUUGUGGAAUUUUCCAUGCAACUUCUCCCUACCAAAUGUAUUCCACUUUGAUAUUAUUCCACAAAAAACAAAAACUACUAUCAGGAUUGCAUAGACUAACUAUCAGUGUUGUGAAGUAUACUUAGCUUAACUUGUUAAUAUUUUCAAUUUAUUAGUUCUUAUUAUAAGUUACAAUGUUAUGUCCUGUAAUUUUUAAAUAUAUACCAACACCAAAACAUAAGAGAUUAUGGUUGAUGGAAGAGAAAAAAUGAAAACAAAUUUGAUGUCCUUAAUCAAUGCCAGAAACUAUGAAUGUCAUGACAGAUACUUUCAUUUCAAUUCAUAGAAUACCACUUCCCAAAGAAUUUCUACAUUACCCAUCAGCUUUCAUUUUAUCCUCGUUUGUUCCUCUAAAUUACUUUUUAAUGUAAGUAAAUACAGUAUGAUGUAGAGAUGACAAUUCCAACCCAUUUAUAGAAAAAUGGGUUUGAUUUAGGUCAUUCUUUAUAUCUAAUUGGUCAAACAGGUCAGCCCGGUUCCAAAACUCAUUUAAAUGUGUUAAAAGUUUGUGAGCUGUUUUAAUAACCAAUUAAUAUUUUACUUCUUAAAACACAGUUUUAAUAAGUUUUCUUAAAAUAUUUAAGGCAUUCCAGUAAACACUUAUGAUAUUUUAAAACACACAUGCACUUAGAAGAAGCACUGAUUUUGUUGUCUUUACAAGAUUUACAGGUUAUUAAAUUUGAAUAAAACUAUUGAUGCAUGCUAGAACUCAUAUCUUUAAAGUUGUAAUUCAUUUUAGUUGCAACUAGUGCGGUCUCUAAUAUGUCUAAGAUGCAAUAUUUGUGUUGAUAUUUACAAAAAGUUGAUUACAUGAAAAUAAACUGUCUUUUUUCUGUCAAAAAUAUACAGUAAAAAAUGAUAUUAGAUAACUAAUAUCCAGAAACUUGUAUUUUGGUCUUGGGGUAUUUUUCUUUUUCUCUUAAUCAAUAUAAGUGGUUGUUGGUUAUUCCACAUGACAUUCGUAAAUGUAUUUGGCUUAUUGGCCACAAUUUAUUAAUUUUCAUGGAAGACUUGGAAGUCAAUGAAUACAUCCAAGCCUAUUUUUUGUUUUCUCUAGAUCGAAAGAAGUGCUUUUUAGCCAAGUCUAUCCCCCUUGGAAGAAGCAAGUGUAANAAAAAAAAAAAAACAGUAAAAAAUGAUAUUAGAUAACUAAUAUCCAGAAACUUGUAUUUUGGUCUUGGGGUAUUUUUCUUUUUCUCUUAAUCAAUAUAAGUGGUUGUUGGUUAUUCGACAUGACAUUCGUAAAUGUAUUUGGCUUAUUGGCCACAAUCUAUAUUUUCAUGGNAAAGAAGUGCUUUUUAACCAAGUCUAUCCCCCUUGGAAGAAGCAAGUGUAAUUGCAAUAAAAAAAAAAUUUAAACAAUAGUGCCAUGAUUGAUGCACUAAGUUAGCAUAUUUCUUGUGGAAUUUUCCAUGCAACUUCUCCCUAACAAGAAAACAAAUAUAUUCCUCUUUUCUUAAUAUUCCAUUAAAAACAAACCUAGUAUCAGGAUUGCAUCAGUCUAAUUAUCAGUUGCGUGAAGCAAGUAUAUUUAGCUUAACUUAAUUUAAUAUUUAUCAAUUCUUAUUAUAUGUUACAAUGUUAAGUACAUAUUCCAUAACUUAUAUUUUGUAACUUUUACAUAUGUACUAUAACAGAUCGUUCAAACUGUAUUUGUGAUUCCACCCAUGCAUGGCUCAUACCCCAUAGAUCGUUCAAACUGUAUAUGAACAACAAUCAAUUUUAGCUCAAAUGGUAAAAACCACUUACAUGAGUUUCCUUUGUAGCAAAAUAGGAGAUAAAAAACUAGCUACCUUUGGUUUUGUUACAGAUAAAAUCCAUUUAGUAACAAAUUUGUAUUACCUAUGAUUUUUUGUAUUACCUAUGAUUUUCUAUUUCUUCAAUUGGAUCAUUCAUGUGUAAAGUCCUCAACAUGAGGUGAAGCAAAUAGAAAUGAGUUAAAAUGCUUAAAAGAUGAUAUUGGGUUACUAUUAUAAUAAUAAUAAUAAUAAUAAAUAAAUAAAUAAAUAAUUAUAUCAUGAAAAGAGAGCUAAGGUGGUUGGGUCCAAAAUAAAAGUUCGAGUAAAUUAUACGAAUGGUCCUUAUGGUUUAAGGUAAAUUGCAUUUUUGGUCUCUAAUUUAUUUUUUUAACUCAGAAGGUCCCUAGUGUUUGUUUUUGUUAUACGAUUGGUUCCUGUCUUACGUAAAAAAACUAUUUUGCCAUUGAUUUUUUAAUUUAUUUAAAUAAACACACCCUCAAAUGCCCCCCUCACCUUACCUUACCUACUCAUCAUUUUUUCCUAUUUGGGUAAAUUACACCAUCCGUCCCUCGUGCAUAUAUCAGAAAGCAUGUUUAGUCCCUAUUUUUAAAAAUUAACUCGGACCGUCCCUGAAUUUGUUUUUUCUUGCAUGGUUAGUCCCUAUUGACAUAAAAUGACUAUUUUACCCUUAAUAAUUUUUUUUUUAUUUUUUUUUGUUACUUACUUAUCAGUGUAUAGAUUUAAAAGAAAAAAAAAAAUAUCCCACCCCUCCCCUCCCCCUAUCCCUAGUUUCCUUCUCCCUCUCUCUCAUUUACACUCACAACCGACAACUACCCAACUCCGGCGCUCCUUCUCCUUUCUCCGGCGAUACCAACCUUUUUCUUUCUCUAUUUUUCGAUCACCACCCACUACAAGUGCUGGCAGCUGCGAAUGGUGGUUCUUUGUCGCAUUCUUCUAAAGUCCAAUAUUCCUCCCCCAAUUUUAACUAAGAACUACAAUUUGUGUGACAACCUGAUACUUUACACUGAGCAAUCCAUCCAUAUAUCUAAAAUUCACUUGAAUUUAGCAUCUUUUAAUAAUAUGUUGAGCCCGCGCUAGUGUUUUAGGCUUAAUAUAUCAUAGAUAUGGACCUUAGGAAAGAUUAGGAAGGGUGCUGCAUCACGAAAUCCAACCAAACACACCAAGAGAGGUGUGUGCGGCCAAGCCAGUCGCACACCCAGCAGCAAACCCCUCCAGCCUCACACUCAACCCUAUAUAAAGUAGAGGACCCCCUUCCAUUCACUUUUGGCUGCAUCCUUUCUCUUUCUAUACUUUCCCUCUCUAGAAAACCACCCAAGAACACCUAGAAGACUCCCAAAACGUGAAGAACACCAUCAUUUUACUUGUCACGGAGGUGAAAUACUUGAAUCCAAGCCUCAAACUCAUAAUGUUCUUCAUGUUCUUCAUCCUAUGAAGGAGUGCGGCCGCACACCUUCAUCAGGUGGCCGCACACACUCAUAAUACCCUCCAAAGUGAGAGUAAGGCCACAUAAUCGACACAUGGGACUCGAACAAGGAGUGUACGGCCGCACACACACCCUGUACGGCCACACACUCUAGUGUGCAACCUCACUCACAAGUCUGGCCGACCCCAGCCGCACACUCACCUUUAUGGCCAUACACACACCCUAAUACUCAUAUUUGGCCUUAAACUUGCAUAGAUCAUUGGGUAUAGAACAUGGGACACUUAGUCUUAGUGAUUCCAUGCCCUUAGGAAGGAUUUCCCCUCAUGUUUAGUCAUGAAAACACCUUAGCUCUAACUUAUAUAUGUGUCACCGUAUGAUUAAUAGGGGCUACUUGCGUUCAGAACAUCCGUUGACACUCAGCAGUUAUACGAAUCGCAAACUUGAACCCUACAGUAAACGGUGAGUUUAUACCCCUUAAUGAACCUUUUUAAAUGUUUUUACGUGUUUUAGGGGGGAGGGGGGGGGUACAAGUAUAAUACUACGUGUUUUUAUUAUCAAAUCAUAUGUGAAUUACAUUUCAUCAUCAAAAGGAGAACUCUCUACACUUUUAGAUACUUAUCAAGAAAACUGUUUUCAACUAAUUAUCAAAUGCGUUUUUAAGGUUAUUUAUAUAAGUAAGACUUGAAGGACUUAGGACUGAUAGCUCGCCUUAUUUCCUGUUCUUGUUUGAUGUGGUCUUAGGGUAUUGGUUGUCCGUCCGACUAUCGUUGAUUUCUUAGUUAUAUAUCAUAUAUAUUCAUGUUAGCUAUGAAAGUUUUCAUCUUAUUCAAUACCUUUGCUGAUCAAAGGCAGGAAUUCACACACUCUAAUUAACUAUAAUAGGUAUAGUUAAGGUUACUGCUUGUUACCUCUACUACUACUAUACAUACUACAACUGUCAAUAUUACAAGUUAAUACNUAUAUGUCAAGGAGUCAGUGGGAGUCUCAAUGGUCUUGAAAAGUUUCGAGAACAAAUCAAAAUAAACCUUAGUGAUCAUCANGAGAACACUCUACCUACUAUACUAAAAGUCUACCAUACUAAAGCAUAAGAGAACACACUAAUACAAAGUAAAACACACUAUCCCUUGAUAAGGUACUCUACCACGCUUACACCAUGUGAUAAGGGCUUCCCGGAAGGAAAGCAACACUACAUGUAUAGAUCUAUAUGGAACUGACACUAUUACAUCCCGACUGUUAACAACAGUCCGAGCCUACUAGGCCCAGGAAUGACACUACAUCACUUCACUACGAAUGACCGGGAAGGUCAUCGGACACUCUAAUAUCAUACAAUUGGUCACAUGAGGGGUUACACUUAUAUCCAAAUAAAUACACUAAGACUUAAAGUCUAAGCUAAUAUCCCGAAGAAACUAAAGAUCUAUUGCUGACUAAAGUUACACCACUAUUGCUGUUAGCAGGCAUAACAUUUCUUCAGCUAUGUUACUCACAUGAGAUUUAUUACUAUACUUUUACAACUGAAGGUUUCAAAGAUAAUACUUUUACACACUCAAAGGAUUUGACUUACAAAUGCACAUUUCUGGAAAAUAUAGGAUUUUCUAGGGAAUCCUACUACUCAUAAACAUAAGUUUCAGUUUCUAUAUUAUGUUUUUGUAAAACUCUUUUACACAAACAACGACACUAAAAUCUUAUGAACUCACCAUCUUUAUGCUGAUACUCGUUUUCAAAAUAACUUGUAUCCUCAGGUCAAAGAUAGACAGGUACUGGUGUAGCUUUUGGAGANAUGAUUGUAUGAUUAUUAAGGAAAGUAUUGCAAGGUUAGCAAUAUUAAUUAUAGAAAACAAGAGUCAUACUUUGCAAAGUCGCAAUAGUUGAAUAAUUGUUUUGCUAUAAUUAAGGGAGAGAAUAUUAUGCUUCAUUUCAAAUCUAAAGGAUUAGGUUGAGAAAUGUUAAUAAAUUUAGUCAAAGGUACAUAGUGUGUUCUUAAAAUUUCGAUUAUGAUUACGGCAUUCCUCUUCACAAUUCGAAUUUUGAGAACAUAGCAAAUAAAACACUAUGCAUCGUGUCCCAUACGCUUCGGGUAUAGGAUUGAUUGCAAAUGCUUUAAUGUUUGACCAUUCUAAAAUUUUCCAAAUGUCUAGCGCAUUUAAAGCGAAAAAGGACUAGAAUUGGUUUUGACUAAAAUAAUUAAACAACUAUCAAAGGACAAUCCAAAGUUCGACGAUGAUUGGUUGCUUGUGAAUAGUUGGAAGCAUGGUAUUGGAUCGACCAUAUGGACAUUAUUAUGAAUAGAAAAGAUUCUAUUAAGAAUGAGUUGUCAUAUGGAAAAUAUGGAAAUGUUUCCAUNAAGUCUAAAAACUUACCAACACUACCACAAGAUCGUUAGAACAAGAAUACUAUAGGAGUAUUAUGCAUUCUACUAACUAAGUAUGUGAUAACUAAAAGGGUCGUUACUGGUAGGACAAUGGUUGCUAAGUGGAUACACCACGGUUACAUGUGACUAGGGCGCCAUAGACUUAGAAUCUGUGGCCUUUGCUUCAUUUCUUAUUCUUGUUUGAUUGGGAAUUUGGGUGUUUCAUUAAGGACUAUCUUUAUAUCUAAUCUAAACUUGUCCUUCUUCCUUUCAGAUGUCUUCCAACAAUGAUGAUGUUGUAUUAGUGUCUAAGUCCAUGACUAUUUUGGUAUGUACUUGACCCGAUGGUGCAUGGUCCUUUUGGGUUGCCNAGCAAGAAUUUGAUAUUCUUUCACUUAUGGAAAUGGAUUUGGAGUUGUGAAAUGAGAAUGAUUGGAAAUGUGUUCAAUUUGAUCUAUUUCACAAAGAAAGAACCAUAGGUAAACAUUGUGUGCAUGCUAGGAGCAUGGGACAAGUGUAGUAAUUCAAGUAAGAAGUCGAUUACCCGAAACGACAAAUAAUGAGUAAUCGAUAUGAUGAUAAAUAAAAGGUGUUUUAUUUAUGCUCAAAGGUUUGAGGCCAUAUGGGAUUAGUAUUAUUCUUGUGUUUCACUUUGCAUGUUUUGACUUCCUGAACAAUUUAAUUGGUUAAGAACAGUAAAAUUAUUCGCACGGGCCACAGUCGUUCAUAUGUUGGAAGUAGGUAUGAAUGAAGACUGUCGUGAAUUGGUGUGUGGAUUGUCUAAAAGAGUAUUAGACAUAGGCAAAUGUUUGCUGCAACGUUCAUGAGUGCUUAUGAAUAUGAAUUUGCGCAUUGGAUUAAACCCACGCUCAUUUGGAUCACUCCAUGGAUUGUAUCACGAGUGAUUGGUGAGACGAUAACAUCUUAUAUUCUUGAAACCGAGAUGUGUGAGUUGUAUCUUGCUAAUCGGUUGCACAUUGAUAAUAUGUAAACUACUCGAAUAGUCCAUGUCGUUUGGGUAAUUUACAUGUAUGGUCCUUAUUAUUAUUUUUUUUAACUCUGGAUGAUUCUUAUGGUUUGGUUUUGUUUCGCUUUUAAUCCUCACCCGAGUUAAUAUGACUAUCAUUCUCUUACUAAUAUUUUUCUAUAAUUUUUUUUAAUUCAUUUUUUUUAUGUUACUAUUAGAUAGAGUAAAUUAUUAAUGUUUAAAAUAGGCCCACCCACAACCCCAUGUCGCUUUCCUUCUUCAGUGAAAUACCACCACUACCGUUGAAACCACCUCCCACCAGAGAAACAAUCCCCGACCACCAUUAUACGGUUCUUGUGCAUUGGUCAGCUCCAAUGAUAUCCGUAACUACUAGUCAUAAAGGAUAUAUCCAUAUAUGAUUAGAUAAGUAGACAAAAAUUAUGUAGUCAAAGUUUAUUUGUUCAUUCUCAUAAUUCAGAAGCAAUAUGUAUUAGCCCCUCAAUGAUUUGGUACUAUCUAAAGUGUUUGGUCGAGCCUUGACUAAAUUGAUGUGUUCGAUUUAGAAGUUAGAUUUGAUUGUCAGAAAUUGUUAAUCGCGGGAAACAAAAUGUUGAAUAUUGAGAUUUUACCCUAUCAAUGUCUCAUGUUCAUAGAGAUAUCUAGAAUGAAGGAAUAAUUCAUGACUUGUCUAAGGACUAAGUUUUGAUUCCAGCAAGAGUUUAGCAGUUGCAUUGGAUAACUACUCUUUGUUCAUCAUCUUCAUGUUCACAUUUUUCACCAUAUUCUAAAAUAGAAUCAACAUCAUCAAUAGAAACCACAUCAUCUUCAAGAUCCGGAUGAAUCCAAUCAAACAAAGAUUCAUGAUAGUGAUCUACAUACAUAUUCAAUCUCUUGUUUCUAAUGGUAGCUUCAAGAAACUCAUGAAAAUCUCACUCAUUUUGUAUGGCAUGCAAUCCCUAAGCCACACUUACUUUAGGUAGACAAUAAUAUACAACUUUGCACUUAUACUUAGUAAUUUCCUCAAGAAAAGAGAUAAAUCGGGGAAGGUGAUCUUGUUCACAUCUAUGUAUUGUACAAAACUCUAGUUACAUCAAAAUACACCAAUGGUGUAGGUGAGAACGUGUCAUUAUAGUGUACAUCCAAGAUUGGAUUUUCAUCUUAUUCCAUGGUAGAUUUCAUUUGCGACUCAAGAAGCUUGGGCAUAAUGGAGGAAUGGUGGCUGAGUAAAUAAAUCCUAAUUUCCCGUUAUCAUCAUAAUAUGGGUGUAAUAUGUGCUUAUUUACGUAAGCUACCAUCUGGACACCACAUAUGUAAUUCAUUUCACCAAAAUAAAGGGGAAAUCAUAUAUGACCGACAAACCAGGUUUAGGUGUGUAACCGGUCAAAAGGAUUUCAUGAGUAUAAAAAAACAAGUGUGAGGGCCUAUUUUACAUAAAUAAAUAAAUAAAUAAAAAGGAGUCAACGUGUACAAAAGGAGAACCAGGUUACCCUUUUAGGUCAUUUUCCCCUAAACUAAUUAUGUCAAAAAUUAGAGCAUACCCCCCCCCCCCCCCCCAAAAAAAAAAAAAAUCUCUCUCCUUUCCUUAUUUAAAUGUAUCGGAGUUAAUGAGAAAAUGAGAAAUCAAUUUUGAAAGAUAGAUGAUGAAAUUAGGAGUAAAAGUGAAAAUCCAAUGGUGUUUCUAAGCUAAUUCUUAAAGUAGAAGCUUGUAAGGUAGCUUUCCUUUUCCUUGUUGUCUUCUAGGUUUACAAAUGUUCCAUAAAUCUUAAUAUCUAUGAUGAAACUCAUGAUUAUAUUAAGUUAUGUGUUCUAUUAUAGGUUUAUAACACCAAUCCAAUGAUGUAACUGCAUGACCUCAUGAGUUAGUUGACAUGCUAUAAUACCCCACAAUAGAAGGGAGUCCCAGAGAGGAAGAACAGGCAUUUGGCAGAGAUUUCGAGUAGUAUGAUCCAUGAUAAAAGUGUUUUGGUAAAGUUUUGGGUGGAAACAAUGAUAAUUGUAGCAUAAGUAAUUAAUAGAAUUCCACAGCAAGGUCUCUCAUAUCGGUGUACAUUCGAAAAGAUGUGGAAAAUGAAACCAAAUGUAAGUCUUCUGAGAGUUUUUGGCUGUGAUAGCUUUCCAUUUUCCAUCUCACACCCUCAUCAAAAUUGACAUUUUCAAAAACAUGUCUAAACACAUACCACGUGCAUUCACUUACCAAUUUCUAUAAAUAUUAGGUCAUCUCCAUCUCUAGAAAUGUGGGUUUUCAAUGCAGAAUCUAAGCAUUUUCCUUUUUUAUUGGUUGCCAAGAUUUCACAUUGACACCUUUGUAGUCCGUUACUUGUCCUUUGUAGUGAACACAUGCUUCUUGCUCACUGGUCGCUUCACCAUGCUCUUGCUCAUCGAUUAUUAGGUAACAACCACGGUGUAGAUGUAACUACAUUGAAGUGAAAAGUAUUGGUGUUCUAUCAAAUGUAUUGACAAAGAUCCAAACAUUGUUCGUAAAGAAAUAAUUACAUUAGAGAAUGACACAAGAAAACCAAAUGAAGAAUAUAAUUGUGCCAUUAAAUUGGGGAAAAACAUUCAUUACAACCUUAGUCUAAAUGCCUUGUUUUAUAAUUCAUAGUAUUUGUGUUCCGUUUGACACUCAUUUAAUCAAGCAGAAAGUCUUCUAAUCAUGAAAUUUGAAAAGUACUAAUUAUAACAUUUUAUUCACAUUUAAUCAAGCACAAAGCCUUCUCAGCAUGAAAUUUGAAAAGUACUAAUUAUGGAAGUUCAACACAAAUUGAACAACAUUGAGCUUUAUAUAACUUAUUGACUUAUUGUCAUAUAUUUUCAACUAAAUGACAAGAAAGUCUUCUAAUCAUGAAAUUUGAAAUGACAAGAAAUUCACAUUUAAUCAAGCACAAAGCCUUCUCAGCAUGAAAUUUGAAAAGUACUAAUUAUGGAAGUUCAACACAAAUUGAACAACAUUGAGCUUUAUAUAACUUAUUGACUUAUUGUCAUAUAUUUUCAACUAAAUGACAAGAAAGUCUUCUAAUCAUGAAAUUUGAAAAGUACUAAUUAUGGAAGUUCAACACAAAUUGAACAACAUUGAGCUUUAUAUAACUUAUUGACUUAUUGUCAUAUAUUUUCAACUAAAUGACAAGAAAGUCUUCUAAUCAUGAAAUUUGAAAAGUACUAAUUAUGGAAGUUCAACACAAAUUGAACAACAUUGAGCUUUAUAUAACUUAUUGACUUAUUGUCAUAUAUUUUCAAUUAAAUGACAAGAAAGUCCUGAACUUUAUUUUUUUGACAGUAAAGUUCUAACCACCGACAGUUUUUGACACUUUUACCAUUUUUUUCUGGUUAGUCGGUAAUUAGAUUGUUUUUGUCAAAAUAAUAAAGUUUAUGACUUUCUUGUCAAAUCGUGAAUUAAGACUUUACUAUAAAAAAAAAGUUUAGGAUAUUUUUGUCAAAUCGUUGAAAAUAUUGGGACUUUAGUGUAUUUUCAUAGCCCAAGAAAUUUUAAUUGUGAUUUUUGUCACAACAUCACUGUUUUUCUUACCAUCAUCAUCUUUACCCUAAUAUAAUCACUAGUAACUUGGUGUUAUAAAACAUAUUGUUGUGUGUGAUUCGGUGAGUGAGUGCAAGCGAGCAUUGUAUCAAAGUUUAUCCCUUCCUUUUAUCCAAAGUAGGAUAAAAGUGAUACCUUUGGGCCCCUCGAUGGUUUAGUGAUGACAAACGUAAAUGCUCGGCCGGGCUAGGGCUAAUUUGAUUUGUUCAAUUAGUCAUUCGUCAUAAAUCGGAAAUCGAGAAAUAAUACAAAGAGAAUGAUUUGAAAUCAUAUCUCAUACGAUAUCUAGAAUGGGGGAAUAUAUGAUCCCUUAUCUAAAGGACACGCGUAUCUGAUAGGAUCAGAGUUGACAGUGGCUUUGGAAAGCUACGAUUGCAUAUCAGGAUCUGAAGUCAUACGCAAAAUAGUUAUUAGACGUAUCCAAGUGGGAGACUGUUGGAUUAGUGUCUAAGUCCAUGACUAUUUUGGUAUGUACUUGACCCGAUGGUGCAUGGUCCUUUUGGGUUGCCUUCACCAAAGCAACUUAAUAGGAUGAAUCAUGGAGAGAAAGGAUUAAAUAUGAAUUAUUAAUUAUUAUGAGAAUAAUAUAUUAAAGGAGAAAUCAUAUUGUUUAAUUAAUAUUAGUCAAUAAUUAAUUAGUAAUUAGUUUUGUGACUAAAAGAGAUUAAUUAAACUUAAGGGACUGGAAUUGUAAUUAUAAGAUAAUUGCAAUUUGGGCUAUGGAUUGUCUUAUAUUGAGGAGUAGACGAAUUCUAUGGGGAAACGCAUGAGGAAAUCGUCCAAGGCCUUAAGGAAAGGAGUCCAUGGGUUGCUUAGGGCUUAAGCAUCCAAAUUAGGGUUUCCUUGUUAGAUAACCCUAAUAGCCUCACUAUAUAUAGAACCCUUAAGGCUCAAAAACGUGGGGAACUUCUCUUCUAGGGCUAGAACAUGUUUUGGGCAGCCUCUAUCCUCUCUCCUCUUCAUCCUCUUGCUCUUGGUGUUUGUGAACCAUUAGAGGAGUGCCAUUUGUGACUCUAAGCUUUCUAAAGUCAAUACAAGGAGGANCUAAGCCUUCCAAAGUCAAUACAAGGAGAUUUGGGAUUGUUAUUGCUACAUAACAAUCAAGGUAAUAUUAUAAACCUAUUCUCAUGUUAAUAUGAUUACUUGUAUGCUAGAAUUAGGGUUUAUAGUCUUGGAUAACUUGCAUGUACAAUAGAGAAACCUAGAUCCAAGCAUUAGGGUUUGUAUGAGCACAUAGGAUGUUCUUGUGACCAAAACCCAUCAGUGGUAUCAGAGCCUAGACUGGUUUCUAUUGUAUUGAUGCAUUAUAUGGUUGAAAAAUUCAAUUUUUUGGUGUUUUGGAGGCUGGACUCGCGAGUCCAUGCUGACUCGACGAGUCCAUGCUUGACUCGACGAGUCAACUCGUCAGAUGGAGCAUAUCUUGGGAUUUCUUGCUGUUUUUGCUUUGGGAUAGUUACCUUAUCAUAUUAGAUCAAUAUAAAUCCGAUUUUAUGAUAUAUUUGACUAUAUUCCUGAUCUAAUUGAAGAUAUUUAUCAAUUAAUAAGAUAAUUGUUUCCUUAUAAGAUAAUUGAUUAAUUAUUUUGAGUAAAUUGAUAAAUUGUUUUGCAAGAAAUCAUUAAACAAAUCAAAUAUGGAUAAUUAUGUAAUUAAAUGUUAGUUUAGAUUAUUUGUUAUUUGAUCCUUGUUGUUAUGAAAAGUUUCAUAUUUUUCCCUUUAGGUUUUAUAUUUUAAAUUUGAACACAAAGGUUUUGUUGUUUUGAAAUUUAAAUGGUUAAAACCUUAAUGUUUUGAAAAGGGUUUCAAAACAUGCCCUCAAGUUUUAGAAUUUAAAUUUUGAUUAAUAGUUUAAUUGUGAUGUAUAUUUAAAUUCUAAACCCUAAUGUUUUGAAAUGUUUCAAAACUUGCCCUCAAGUUUUGGAAUUUAAAAGUUGAUUAAAAGUUUAAUUAGGAAUGUUAAAUUCUAAAACCCUAGUAAUGUUUUGAAAAGUUCAAUUCACACAUUUAUGGUUUUAUUAAUUAAUUAAGGUGUAUAAUUAAAAGAGGUUUAAUAAAUCCAUAAAAGUUUAGGUUUACAAUUUAAUUGAAUUAAAAGUAUAAUUGUUAAAUUUGACCACCUAGUAUUUUAAAAGUGUAAAAUACA